RNAcentral lists this ribosomal RNA (450 nucleotides) under uncultured bacterium. Its description in RNAcentral is "partial 16S ribosomal RNA". It matches the Rfam family "Bacterial small subunit ribosomal RNA", at positions 354 to 796 of the family's 1533-position model. The record is from RNAcentral.
GUGGGGAAUAUUGGACAAUGGGCGCAGGCCUGAUCCAGCCAUACCGCGUGGGUGAAGAAGGCCUUCGGGUUGUAAGGCCCUUUUGUUGGGAAAGAAAUCCUGUCGGUUAAUACCUGGCGGGGAUGACGGUACCCAAAGAAUAAGCACCGGCUAACUUCGUGCCAGCAGCCGCGGUAAUACGAAGGGUGCAAGCGUUACUCGGAAUUACUGGGCGUAAAGCGUGCGUAGGUGGUGGUUUAAGUCCGUUGUGAAAGCCCUGGGCUCAACCUGGGAAUUGCAGUGGAUACUGGAUCACUAGAGUGUGGUAGAGGGAUGCGGAAUUUCUGGUGUAGCAGUGAAAUGCGUAGAGAUCAGAAGGAACAUCCGUGGCGAAGGCGGCAUCCUGGGCCAACACUGACACUGAGGCACGAAAGCGUGGGGAGCAAACAGGAUUAGAAACCCCGGUAGUCC